GAUCAUGCUUUAUAUAUAUAGGUUUUUAGAAUUUUGGAAUCGGGAGCUCUGUGCGAUCGCACACUUUGCACUCCCUCAAGGCCGGCCCUGAAUUCAUAUUAAUGUAGAGAAUCAUAUGCAAGACAAAUCCCAAACCUUUUUUCCAUCGUCCAGAUCUUGUCAAAGGCUGGGCAUCCAGCUGCUUUGCCCCUCUCCAUCUGAUGUUGCCCCCUUGGCAGUUCUACCACCAUUGUGAAAGGGCUGGAGCUUUUUGGCGUCAAACUUAGUGAUGCUUCAAAGAAAUUGGGGAAAAAGUUUGCUACCGGAGCCUCUGUUGUUAAGUGUUCAGAGGGUUUCAUGCAUACAAGGAUGAGACGUCGCGUGGAAUCUUUGAUUGAGGCUCUUGAUCGUGCUAAACCUGGCAUGGAAGAUGGAAAGAACGCUGCUCAAAGUAGAUCCUUCAAACGGCUGAGCCUGAAGGAAGCCAGGACCAAUUCAAGCUAAAAAAGGCAUGGUAACCAGAUAGUAAAAGGGACAUGCUCCUACCGGACCUCAAGAAAGUAUGUCGUCAAACGAAUUGCUCGAAGAUAUUAGAGAACCGUUGUUGAACAAAUCGUGCGCUUAUGUCCUUUAUGAACAAAUCGUUGUUUUGUUAAAUUGCAACAUUGGAUGGUCACAUAUAUUAUUAUGCGAUUGAUCAGUACAAACUAUAAUUUUUAUUUAAUUCCAGGUUAAUACAUAAUUGUCUG
Molecule: long non-coding RNA, 728 nt
Organism: Malus domestica (apple)
Lineage: Eukaryota; Viridiplantae; Streptophyta; Magnoliopsida; Rosales; Rosaceae
Source: RefSeq, a predicted model, not a curated record